RNAcentral lists this ribosomal RNA (473 nucleotides) under uncultured Streptococcus sp. RNAcentral describes it as "bacterial SSU rRNA". It matches the Rfam family "Bacterial small subunit ribosomal RNA", at positions 906 to 1382 of the family's 1533-position model. Lineage: Bacteria; Bacillati; Bacillota; Bacilli; Lactobacillales; Streptococcaceae. The record is from RNAcentral.
GGAAUUGACGGGACCGCACAAGCGUGGAUGAUGUGGUUUAAUUCGAAGCAACGCGAAGAACCUUACCAGGUCUUGACAUCCCGAUGCUAUUUCUAGAGAUAGAAAGUUACUUCGGUACAUCGGUGACAGGUGGUGCAUGGUUGUCGUCAGCUCGUGUCGUGAGAUGUUGGGUUAAGUCCCGCAACGAGCGCAACCCCUAUUGUUAGUUGCCAUCAUUCAGUUGGGCACUCUAGCGAGACUGCCGGUAAUAAACCGGAGGAAGGUGGGGAUGACGUCAAAUCAUCAUGCCCCUUAUGACCUGGGCUACACACGUGCUACAAUGGUUGGUACAACGAGUUGCGAGUCGGUGACGGCGAGCUAAUCUCUUAAAGCCAAUCUCAGUUCGGAUUGUAGGCUGCAACUCGCCUACAUGAAGUCGGAAUCGCUAGUAAUCGCGGAUCAGCACGCCGCGGUCGAAUACGUUCCCGGGCCUU